ACGAACGCUGGCGGCGUGCUUAACACAUGCAAGUCGAACGCCCUAGCAAUAGGGAGUGGCAGACGGGUGAGUAACGCGUGGGAACCUUCCCUAUGGUGCGGAAUAACUCGCCGAAAGGCGUGCUAAUACCGCAUAAGCCCGCAAGGGGAAAGAUUUUAUCGCCAUAGGAUGGGCCCGCGUAGGAUUAGCUAGUUGGUGAGGUAAUGGCUCACCAAGGCGGCGAUCCUUAGCUGGUGAGAGAAUGACCAGCCACACUGGGACUGAGACACGGCCCAGACUCCUACGGGAGGCAGCAGGUGGGGAAUCUUGCGCAA
RNAcentral lists this ribosomal RNA (314 nucleotides) under uncultured bacterium. RNAcentral's name for it is "bacterial SSU rRNA". It matches the Rfam family "Bacterial small subunit ribosomal RNA", at positions 29 to 371 of the family's 1533-position model. The record is from RNAcentral.